Molecule: ribosomal RNA, 407 nt
Filed under: Vibrio sp. H5C
Lineage: Bacteria; Pseudomonadati; Pseudomonadota; Gammaproteobacteria; Vibrionales; Vibrionaceae
Description: bacterial SSU rRNA
Rfam family: Bacterial small subunit ribosomal RNA
Source: RNAcentral
AAACAGGAUUAGAUACCCUGGUAGUCCACGCCGUAAACGAUGUCUACUUGGAGGUUGUGGCCUUGAGCCGUGGCUUUCGGAGCUAACGCGUUAAGUAGACCGCCUGGGGAGUACGGUCGCAAGAUUAAAACUCAAAUGAAUUGACGGGGGCCCGCACAAGCGGUGGAGCAUGUGGUUUAAUUCGAUGCAACGCGAAGAACCUUACCUACUCUUGACAUCCAGAGAACUUUCCAGAGAUGGAUUGGUGCCUUCGGGAACUCUGAGACAGGUGCUGCAUGGCUGUCGUCAGCUCGUGUUGUGAAAUGUUGGGUUAAGUCCCGCAACGAGCGCAACCCUUAUCCUUGUUUGCCAGCGAGUAAUGUCGGGAACUCCAGGGAGACUGCCGGUGAUAAACCGGAGGAAGGUGG